This is a small nuclear RNA of Solanum verrucosum, 102 nucleotides long. NCBI's taxonomy places the organism in Eukaryota, Viridiplantae, Streptophyta, Magnoliopsida, Solanales, Solanaceae. The record is from RefSeq and is a predicted model, not a curated record.
GAUCAUGAUCAAAGUGGAAAUUGGGAACAAUACAGAGAAGAUUAACACGACUCUUGCACAAGGAUAACAGAGAAAUGGUCCCAAAAAAAAUUAAAAAAUGAU